AUGGCCGCACCCAUGGCAUAUGGAAGUUCCUGGACUAGGGACUGAAUCUGAGCCGCAGGUGCGGCAGAGCCAGAUCCUUUAACCCACUGUGCUGGGCCGGGGAUAGAAACCGAGCCUCUACAGUCAGAUUCUUAACCAACUGCACCACAGUAGGAACCCCAACAUUCGACAUUUGAUGGUGCAGAUACCUCCUUCUUCCUUCAGUGUAAAUAUUCUAAUACAAAUAUUUUUAUUAAUUGCCCCCCGCCAAAAAACAACAAAAAACCAAAAAGCACAAUAAAAAAAUUGGACCUUACCAAACCACCUGUAGGGCUUGCUUGCCCCUCUGGUACACUCUUCCACCCUGUGUCUUGCCUUGGUAAUGCCUGAUGGGUCACCCGAUAGGCUUCAACCUAGACAUCACACAUUUCUUCAGGAACCUUCCCUUCCACUAUGCUCCUGUCACCAGGGGUGUAGUACUAGGGGAAUCACACCUGAUAGCAAUUGCUCAUUUAUUUAGUACCCUCCAGCAUAUACAUUAAAUACAUCUGUAAGUACUUGCUGACUAUUCCACUAGGUAAUAGGCACCACCCAACCUGGGAAAGAUGAUUGGUGCCUUCCCCGUAGAGCCUAGUCCAAGCUUUUGUUUUGUUUGUCCUUUUAUAGCCACACCUAUGGCAUAUGGAAGUUCCCAGGUGCAGCCCUAAAAGGACAAAAGACCAAAAAUAAAUAAAUCAACUGCAGCUUGUGUUAAGCUUAAUCCACUGAGCAAGGCCAAGGGUUGAAUCUACAUCUUCACGGACACUUUGUGGGGUUCUUAACCCACUGAGCCACAAGAGGAACUCCUUGUUUUGUUUUUAAAUGGCUUUAUUGAGAUUUAGUCCAUGGACUAUGCAAUUCACCCAUUUAAGAUGUAAAAUUUGGGAGUUCCUGGGUGGCACAGUGGGUUAAGGAUUUUGCGAUGUCAUUGCUAUGGCUUGUAUUACCGCUGUGGCGCAGGUAAGAUCCCUGGCCCAGGAACUUCUGCAUACUGCAUGUAUAUGGCCAAAAAUAAAUAAAUAAAAUGUACAAUUUAGUGGCUUUUAGUAUAUUUACAAAGUUCAUCACCACAAUCAGUUUUAAAGUUUUCAUCAACCCCAAAAGAAACUUCGCACUCCUUAGGUAUCAUCGCUGGGGCCUCUGCAUCCCCUUCCCUUCCCCAUCACCCAGCCCCUGAGGUAACCACCAAUCUAGUGUAACCACAGAUCCUAUAGAUUUGCCUAUUCUGGAUAUUUCUUAUGUGAAUCAGGUUAGGUCUUCCCCAUCUUACCCAGUUCUGAGAUUCUUCUAAGAACUUCCCUGGAGAUUCAAAUUCAGAGAUCAGAGAAUCUGGUGGGUUCCCCCCCCCCCCCCCCCCCCCGCUUUUUAGGGCCGCACCUGCAGCAUAUGGAAGUUCCCAGGCUAGGGGUUUGAAUCGGCGCCACAGCUGCUGGACCACAGCACAACCACAGCCACGUGAGAUCCGAGCCAUGUCUUCCACCUACACCACAGCUCACAGCAACUCCGAAUCCCCAACCCACUGAGUGAGGCCAGGGAUUGAACCUGCACCCUCAUGGAUCCUAGUCGGGUUCGUUAACCAAUGAGCUACAAAGGGAACUCUGGAAUCUGUAUUUUUAACAUGGGGUCUUCUCUAAAGAGUCAAUUCUCUAUUUAAUCAGACUGCAUCUGCCUUUACUGUCUCCAGCAACCAAGGCCAAAUGUAUAGUAGUUGUCAACAAAUAGCUUUUGAUGACUACCUCUAAAACUUAACACAAUCAAGCAUUUUGAGUAUGGCGAGUCCCCUUGUGGCUUGGCAGGUUGGGGACAAUAUAGGCAGGGAGGAGUGAGAUCAGACUAGUAGAGGAGGCAAAUUGAAUCCACAGAGGCCAAAGGUGGCAAUUAGAAAGGGGCUUGUGGAGUGGCUGAAGAGUUUGGGAUUUAUUACCUCUAGGGUACUGGAGAGUCAUCCAUGGGCUUGAAGCAGGGGAAUUAUGAGAUCACAUCUGGGCUGUGCAGUUGUGUAGGGGGAGGAGGCAGGAAGCAGUGAAGAGUCUAAAGAUGUGGUCAGAAGUGAUAGUGCCUGAGCCAGGUUGGAGGCAGUGGGGAUAGAGAGAUUAGAGUGAAGAGAUAUCCCAAAGGCAGAAUGGACAAUUUAGAGAUUGAUGGGAUGUGGGAGAUGAGAGAAUGAAG
RNAcentral lists this long non-coding RNA (2187 nucleotides) under Sus scrofa (pig). RNAcentral's name for it is "lncRNA (ENSSSCG00055007759.1)". Lineage: Eukaryota; Metazoa; Chordata; Mammalia; Artiodactyla; Suidae. The record is from RNAcentral.